AUUGAACGCUGGCGGCAGGCCUAACACAUGCAAGUCGAGCGGAUGAGUGGAGCUUGCUCCAUGAUUCAGCGGCGGACGGGUGAGUAAUGCCUAGGAAUCUGCCUGGUAGUGGGGGACAACGUUUCGAAAGGAACGCUAAUACCGCAUACGUCCUACGGGAGAAAGCAGGGGACCUUCGGGCCUUGCGCUAUCAGAUGAGCCUAGGUCGGAUUAGCUAGUAGGUGAGGUAAUGGCUCACCUAGGCGACGAUCCGUAACUGGUCUGAGAGGAUGAUCAGUCACACUGGAACUGAGACACGGUCCAGACUCCUACGGGAGGCAGCAGUGGGGAAUAUUGGACAAUGGGCGAAAGCCUGAUCCGGCCAUGCCGCGUGUGUGAAGAAGGUCUUCGGAUUGUAAAGCACUUUAAGUUGGGAGGAAGGGCAGUAAGUUAAUACCUUGCUGUUUUGACGUUACCAACAGAAUAAGCACCGGCUAACUUCGUGCCAGCCGCCGCGGUAA
RNAcentral lists this ribosomal RNA (500 nucleotides) under uncultured bacterium. RNAcentral's name for it is "partial 16S ribosomal RNA". It matches the Rfam family "Bacterial small subunit ribosomal RNA", at positions 30 to 523 of the family's 1533-position model. The record is from RNAcentral.